GUGGGGUAAUGGCCUACCAAGGCAUCGACGGGUAGCUGGUCUGAGAGGAUGAUCAGCCACACUGGGACUGAGACACGGCCCAGACUCCUACGGGAGGCAGCAGUGGGGAAUAUUGCGCUAAUGCGCGAAAGCGUGACGCAGCGACGCCGCGUGGGGGAUGAAGGCCCUCGGGUCGUAAACCCCUUUCGCCAGGGACGAAGGGAAACUGACGGUACCUGGAGAAGAAGUCCCGGCUAACUACGUGCCAGCAGCCGCGGUAACACGUAGGGGACGAGCGUUGUCCGGAAUUAUUGGGCGUAAAGCGCGCGUAGGCGGUCGUGCAAGUCGGAUGUGAAAAUCCCGGGCUCAACCCGGGACCUGCACCCGAUACUGCUCGACUCGAGGUAGGUAGGGGAGAUCGGAAUUCCUGGUGUAGCGGUGAAAUGCGCAGAUAUCAGGAGGAACACCGGUGGCGAAGGCGGGUCUCUGGGCAGUAACUGACGCUGAGGAACGAAAGCGUGGGUAGCGAACAGGAUUAGAUACCCUGGUAGUCCACGCCGUAAACGGUGGGCGCUAGGUGUGGGUUCCUUCCACGGAAUCCGUGCCGUAGCUAACGCAUUAAGCG
This 604-nucleotide ribosomal RNA is filed under the name uncultured Actinomycetes bacterium. Its description in RNAcentral is "bacterial SSU rRNA". It matches the Rfam family "Bacterial small subunit ribosomal RNA", at positions 252 to 866 of the family's 1533-position model. The record is from RNAcentral. Lineage: Bacteria; Bacillati; Actinomycetota; Actinomycetes.